UUUGAUGGCGACCGGCGCACGGGUGAGUAACACGUAUCCAACCUGCCGAUGACUCGGGGAUAGCCUUUCGAAAGAAAGAUUAAUACCCGAUGGCAUAGUUCUUCCACAUGGUAGAACUAUUAAAGAAUUUCGGUCAUCGAUGGGGAUGCGUUCCAUUAGGUUGUUGGCGGGGUAACGGCCCACCAAGCCUUCGAUGGAUAGGGGUUCUGAGAGGAAGGUCCCCCACAUUGGAACUGAGACACGGUCCAA
RNAcentral lists this ribosomal RNA (249 nucleotides) under uncultured bacterium. RNAcentral's name for it is "partial 16S ribosomal RNA". It matches the Rfam family "Bacterial small subunit ribosomal RNA", at positions 84 to 334 of the family's 1533-position model. The record is from RNAcentral.